Molecule: RNA transcript, 5759 nt
Organism: Phyllostomus discolor (pale spear-nosed bat)
Lineage: Eukaryota; Metazoa; Chordata; Mammalia; Chiroptera; Phyllostomidae
Gene: ZNF704
Gene name: zinc finger protein 704
Exons: 10
Source: RefSeq, a predicted model, not a curated record
GAGGGAGCGAAGGGGAGGGGACAGCUCAGCUGCAGGCAUGCAGGCGCGCCGCCUGGCCAAGCGCUCCAGCCUGGGCGGCCGCCGUGGGGGUUCCGCGCUGCAACCCCUGGGCUCGGCGCCCGAGAUCGGGAGGCCGCCACUGCCCCCGCCGCCGCCACGGAGUGCGGGGACCGGUCUCCCUCGGGCCUCCGGGGCCAUCGCGUCGUCGGUGCUGCUGCUGCUGGGCGAGGAGGACGAAGAGGAGGAGGGCGCGAGCCGUAGGCGGCGGGGUCUCGGGCGGGUGCCGGAGAAGCCCCGGGAGGGCGCGGAGGAGGACGAUGACGACUACGAGGAGGACGACGAGGAGGGGGUCAUCGAGGUGGUGGAUGGCGACGAGGAGGACGAGGACGGCGAGGAGCGCUUCCUGCCCCUCGGCCCUGGCCGCGCGGUCCCCAGGGGCCCGGCCCGGGGAGCGGUGAAGGUAGGGAGCAUUAAGCGGGACAUGUCCUUCACGUUUCAACCAGAGGACCUAAAACGAGACUCAAGUAAAAAAAUGUCUUAUCAGCCCUUGUUCCCCUUGGCCAUGGAGGAAGAUGUGAAAACAGCAGACACCAAAACUGCAAACCGAGCCCUUGACCAUGACAAAGAAAAUACCCGCUCCAUCUGUCUCCUUGAGCAAAAGCGAAAAGUUGUUUCUUCCAACAUUGAUGUUCCUCCAGCAAGGAAAUCCUCAGAGGAACUGGACAUGGACAAAGUGACAGCAGCAAUGGUACUAACCAGCCUGUCCACCAGCCCUUUGGUUCGAAGUCCUCCUGUGCGGCCAAAUGAGGGCCUCAGCGGAUCCUGGAAGGAGGGUGGCGCCCCGUCCAGCAGCUGCGGCAGCGGCUACUGGAGCUGGAGUGCCCCCAGCGACCAGUCCAACCCGUCCACCCCGUCACCACCGCUGUCCGCCGACAGCGCCAAGCCCUUCCGUAGCCCCGCGCCCGACGAUGGCAUCGACGAGGCUGAGGCCGGCAACCUGCUCUUCGACGAGCCCAUCCCAAGGAAAAGAAAGAACUCCAUGAAGGUGAUGUUCAAAUGCCUCUGGAAAAACUGUGGGAAGGUGCUGAGUACUGCAGUAGGGAUCCAGAAACACAUCCGGACCAUUCACCUUGGGCGUGUUGGGGACUCCGAUUAUAGUGAUGGCGAAGAGGACUUCUACUACACAGAGAUCAAGCUCAACACAGACUCAGUGGCAGAUGGACUGGGUAGCCUGGCCCCAGCUUCGCCAUCCCAGUCCCUGGCUUCACCACCCACCUUCCCCAUCUCGGAUUCAAGCCGAACAGAAACCCCUUGUGCCAAAACUGAAACUAAACUGAUGACGCCCUUGAGCCGCUCAGCCCCCACCACCCUCUACCUCGUGCACACUGACCAUGCUUACCAGGCCACACCCCCUGUGACCAUUCCAGGAUCCACCAAGUUUGCCCCCAAUGGCAGCAGCUUCAGCAUCUCUUGGCAGUCUCCUCCAGUUACUUUCACAGGCAUUCCAGUGUCACCAACACAUCACCAUCCUAUGGGCACAGGAGAGCAGAGACAGCACAGUCACACAGUCUUGUCCUCCCCGCCCAGGGGGAUGGUCAGCCUAAGGAAGCCUCGUGGAGAAGGCAAGAAAUGCCGGAAGGUAUAUGGCAUGGAGAACCGAGACCUGUGGUGCACGGCCUGCCGCUGGAAGAAGGCCUGCCAGCGCUUCCUGGACUGAGGAACCUAAGGGACAGCAGUAAUCUAGUCACAGCCACCAGGUCACAGCCACCGAGCAGGUCACCCCACCUUCACCUCCCACUGCAGCUUUUGGGAAAGCACUCUUCCUUCUGAACAAAACACAUCUGGAGCCCAGGAAAACACUUCCAGGAACCUUGGUGGAAUUACAGCAAAAAAUAAGUCACACAGGCACUGAUCUGUUCGGAACCCACCUAGAGCAGCUAUUACUAAUUUGUGUGUGUGAAAAGGAAAGUCAAUUUGCUUUACUAUGUGUCUAGGUUUGAAAACUAUGGACUUCCAUCGCAAUGGAAUCAACAAUGCCCAUUUUACCUAGAAAGGAGGCAUAUUUUGACAAGCUUUCUGAAAAAUACCAUUUCAGUUGAGGGUGAGGGGCAGUGGCAGGUAUUGACACACACAAAAAAGCUACAUGUGAUUCUGUAGCUUUUGUACAAAGAACAAUACACACUUUCGUGUGAAUAGUCUUUUCCCAGUUUCCAUUUGACUUCUUGGGGCAGCACUCUGGGUAUCUUUUCCAUGUCUUUCUCUUUGUUUUGUUUUGUUUUGAAGAAUGGCCCUGAAAUGGUAGAGCUGUGGGCUUGCAGGGCCCCUGAUGGUGGAAACUCAAAAAUAGGUUGACUGAACUCAUCAGCAGACUUCAGCUCCAAGCUGAGCUCAGGACACCCAGCUGUCACUGAUGGGAAACACCUAGAAGUCUUCCCAAGAUCUGUAAGAAGCCCUUCCCCAAGCAGCUCCUCUUCUGCCUGCUCAACUCAAUCCAGACCUGGCACAUGGAGCCCUCUGGUGUGGCCCAGAGACACCAAAAGGUUGGACACCCCUGCCUUGUCCUUCCCAGGGAACAUGCACCCAAGUUGUAGGAUGACAGCGUGACAACAUGGAAAAAGUAACAAGAGUGUUGGAGAACCAAGAAGAAACACAAGAGGCCCAUGGGCACCUGGCUCCCACCCCUUAGUGCUGAUGAGCCACUGGUGGCUGUCCUUGAGCCCCGCUGGGGAGCGGCCAUCUGCAUGGGCAGAAAUCAGGUGUCCACACCUAUGGGAACAGCCCACUGCCUUUUUCAGCAGACUUCAUUGGAAACGAAAGCAUAGCUUUCACUUGAGAAUGUUUAGAGAAAAGUGGAAAGACUUGUACAUUUAGAACAGAAUGCCUUGAGAAAAGUAGCAAAAUACUAUAAAUAAUAUUCAUUUCCUCAGGGAAAAUUAAAGAGUAUGUGAAAAAUAGAGCUGGAGGAGCUUAAUAUUAGAAAGAUAUUAUCUCCAGAGUCAUCUAGUCAGAAAAAAAAUUUUUUUUCAUGAACAUGAUGUUAUUUCAAGACAAAGUUACAUGAACUGGACGAGACCAACUUUUCUGGGGCUAGGGGAUGCUUUAUGAGAAGAGCUGUUUCUCUGUGGCUGAGCUGUGGUCAAAGGCUGGUGUGUGGACCAUAAGCACCAUCCCAGGUAGGUGUCCAGAGACUCAUGGAAGGCUUUCUUGGAAUGUAGUUGUGAAUAUGUAGCCUUGGCAUUCCUUCCUCUCAUCACCAGUAGGUUCUUAGUUCACCAGAGUUCUUAGCUAUGAGCAAAAGCUCCCAGGGGAAAAACAUUAAAUCUGUGAUAGCAGGUUAAGGAGCAAACUUCCAUGGACUUUCCUGGACAAGGUGCUGCUUUUUCUCAUGACCCUAUAGAAUUUCUCUUGACUACUUCAACUGUAGCAGUGACCUGGUGAGCACCAGGAAGAAUCUGUGCACACAAGUGAGUGGAAACACGGCAGGAUUCGCAGGUAUUGGGGUGUGGAUCAUUUUGAAGAAUGUGCUGGGCAUGAGGAGCAACUGCAAAUUUCAUUUCUUCUAAGAAAAUAACCCUCCUGACCAUGAACACACACACUCUUCCUGCUCCUUAUACCUGUGGGGAUCCUCUCUGAGGAUUCCUCCCUAUGGAAACUGUUUUCUUUUGUCUUUUUCUAUUGUAACUAGAUGAACCACAAGUCAGAACAUAAAAUGAAAUCAGCACUUUGGAGUACCAAUUGUAUCACCAAUCCAGCAAGAAAGUAUAAAAUAUAUGUCAUUGCGACUGACUUUGAGCCCAUAUCCAAUGGUCUAGAUUAUGGGUCCCCAACCCUGGUCUGUGGACUGGUACCCAUCUGUGGCCUAUUAGAAACAGGGCUAUGAGCUAAGCUCGCCUGAGCUUCCCCUCCUGUCUCCCACUCUCCCUCCUCUUCACCCUCCCCCACAGCCCUAUCUAUGGAAAACCCAGUCCCUGGUGCCAAGAAGUUUGGGGACUGCUGGUCUAGAUCAGUGAUUUUCAACCUUUUAAUCUCAUGGAAAAUGUAAACUAAUUACUAAAAUUCUCCGGCAUACCAAAAAUAUGUUCUAUGUUUUGCCAAUCUGAAAAAAAAGUAUAAUUUUGAUUCAUCCACACCAGACACCUGUCAUGUUGGCUGUUGUCAGUUUUUUGUUUAUUUGACAAUCUAUGGGGAAGAGGUGAGUGCCCCUAACUAAAUAGUGGUAUUGCAUGUUUUAAAAAUUCUUGUGACACACUCUUUGAAAAUCACUGGUCCAGAUGCUUUAAAAAGUGUAUCUAUCAUAGGACCAGCAAUCAAAGUGGGACUUUUACUUGUGGUCUUGAUUUGUAAAUAGAUCCUUUUUUAUGACAAUCUCAUAUUUUAUAACUUCUCCUGAGGGUCUGAGAAUCACAAUGGUAAUGUGUUAUAUUGGAAUGUAAUCUGAAAUACAAUAACAAUUAUAACUUAAUUUUCCAAAUAAGACAAGAAAUACACUGCUUAAGCUUCUAUAAUUCUGAGAGACAUACCACUUUUAUAAUAAGCAUUAGUACUUAACUUCUCAAGUUAACAGAACUAGAGAUAUUUUACAGGAUGCAGUGUUUUGUAAUCACAAAAAACAUGAACAUUUUCAGAGAAAUGACCUUGGUUUUAUACAUUGUAGCUUAUUUUUUAAAAGACAGUCUUACUGGACAGGAAGCAUUAAUAUUAUAAGCAAUUCUUACUCUCCAAACAAAGGGCUAUGCCUCUUUUAAGCAAGUGUUUUGGUGCAUAUCUUUUCAGUUAACCCUCUGCAGUGAGGGGUCAAAAUAUAGACCAGAUGGAAAGAUUAAUACAAGAAAAUCAAGAUGGCAACAGCUACACCUUUUAUCAUUAACAGUGUGUUUUAAUGUAUUGUGAGGGGAAAGACACUUUAAGAAUCAUCCUAUGUAUCUUAAAUCUAGAAGAAGUCAAUAGACAUGCUUAUAAGUAAUGAGAGAAAUAUUGUUAUACAUUUUUUAGUGUAAAAUGAUAGAUUUGCCACACACACAAGCUACCAACUGACCUACCAGAACCACAAACCUGUGUUAAACUAGCAAGUAUCAUUUGGCAGAAAUUUCUAAAAUCAUGGAAUGUAAGCCCAAAGGUAGAAUUCUUAGAUGGUUAGUGGUAUUUAAAAUAAUUUUCUCUUCAGCUAAACUUGCAUUUCCUUAUCAGAACAAGUGAUUGAUUUUUUUUUAACCAGAAAAACUCACAGACAUGCCAGGUUGGCAUCAGAAAGUCACAGUAUUCUCAAGAGCUGGGAAAUGAGGAAGGCACCCAUGGAGACUUUAUUAACUCUAUAAGUAAUUCUGAGCUUUGCCAGACCAUUCACAGUGCUAUAGUUCUUUUUUUUUUUUUAUCCCACUCACUGUUAAAGCAAGAAAGUAUCUUGUCUUUCUAAGAUUUUACUCAUUCAAAAGCUGGACCCAUUAGCCAAGUAUGCAGAUAACAUCAAAAGAAAAGCUAGGAUACAAUGGUCAUAUACCCAUUGGGCAACUCCUAUGAGGUCAUCAGAAGGUCACUCAGACCUUGCUUUCAAAAGGGCUUUUGAAUCUGUACACAUGAGAACUAGAAAUGCAUGGAGUUAAGGAAUGACUAUAUGGUCUCAGCUCCUGGUCCUUGAGAUGAGGAAGUCUGAAAAUCUCUAUGUCCUUUCCCCUGGAAUGUCUCUGUUGUUAGCAUUAAAGUUCCCAGGAAGUAUUCACUGCUGAAUGGUUUUGAACCAAGUGAGUCUUGCUUCUUUUUUU